UACGUAGGGGGCAAGCGUUGUCCGGAUUUAUUGGGUUUAAAGGGUGCGUAGGCGGUCUUAUAAGUCAGUGCUGAAAUAUCCCGGCUUAACCGGGAGGGUGGCAUUGAUACUGUAGGACUUGAGUAGAGUUGAGGUUGGCGGAAUUGACGGUGUAGCGGUGAAAUGCUUAGAUAUCGUCAAGAACACCGAUAGUGAAGACAGCUAACUAAGCUCAAACUGACGCUGAGGCACGAAAGUGUGGGGAUCAAACAGG
RNAcentral lists this ribosomal RNA (253 nucleotides) under uncultured bacterium. RNAcentral describes it as "partial 16S ribosomal RNA". It matches the Rfam family "Bacterial small subunit ribosomal RNA", at positions 524 to 776 of the family's 1533-position model. The record is from RNAcentral.